AGCGACAUGGCCGAGCGGUAAGGUGGGGGACUACAAAUCCCUUAUUCCCUAGUUUAAAUCCAGGUGUCACCU
Molecule: non-coding RNA, 72 nt
Organism: Gossypium hirsutum (cotton)
Lineage: Eukaryota; Viridiplantae; Streptophyta; Magnoliopsida; Malvales; Malvaceae
Source: Rfam